Long non-coding RNA from Bubalus bubalis (water buffalo), 6173 nucleotides. RefSeq lists it as uncharacterized. Lineage: Eukaryota; Metazoa; Chordata; Mammalia; Artiodactyla; Bovidae. The record is from RefSeq and is a predicted model, not a curated record. The transcript has 2 exons.
AAGAAUACUGAAGCGAGUUGCCAUUUUCUUCCUCCAGGGGAUCUUCCCAACCCAGGGAUUGAACCCAUAGCUCCUGCAUUGGCAGGCAGAUUUUUUUACCACUGAGCCAACAGGGAAGCCCAAAUAACAUUGUACCCCAUGUUUACAAAGUGGUUUCCCAUUAUCUCACCUGAUCAUCACUAGAGCUUGAUGAAAUAAACAGAACCAGUUGUUACUGGUAUUUGAUAAUAGUGAUAGAAGGAAUACAGACUUUCCCAAAGCCUCAGGAGUGAAGACUAAAAUCCAGGCUGUCUGGUCCCAGCAGAGCUCCCGUUCUAUGAACCCAGACUGCUGCUCUGCUCCAAUCCUAGGGUUCCAGUUGCUCUCCAGAUCCUAGUCAGUCCUCAGUAUGGCCAGUCUUUUUUUAAAAAUUUUGUCCAUUCUAGUGGGUGUAUAGUAUAACACUUUGUGUUUCUAAUUUGCUUUUUCUUAAAGCAAUUUUUAUAUGCUCAUUUGCAAUCUAUAUAAAUUCUUUGACAAUAUCUUUGUUCAAAUAUUUCAUGUGUGUUUUAUUAGGCUGUUUUUCUUAUUGCAUUGUAAGAGCUGUUUAUAUAUGCUGGGUAAAAAGCCUUUGUUAGAUAGAUGUUUUACCAAUAUUUUCUUAAUCCAUGGCUUGCCUUAUUUUCUUUAGAGUGUAAUUCAAAGAGCAGAAGUUUUUAAUUUAAUGAAGUCCAGUUUAUUCAUUUUUUUAAAUUUAUACUCUGCUUUUGAAGUCAUAUUUAAGCAAUCUUAAGAAAGCCAAGGUUAUUAAAAUUUUCUCAUAUUUUCUUCAACUAAAACACUCCUUUAGUGCUAUAAAUCUUCCAAGUUUUAUAUUAGAAGCAUCCCACAAUUUUUAUAUUUUAUCUUUUCACUUUCAUUCAGUUCAAAUCUUUCUAAAUUCCCUUUUGAUUUCUUCUUUAACCUUUGGGUUGUUCAAAAUUGUGUUAUUUUGUUUCAAUAUACUGGGAAUUUUCUAAAGAUCUUUGCUGUUCAUUUCUAAUGUAUGGUUAAGAAAGUAUUCUUUUUUUUUUUUUUUUAAAAAAAGAAAGUAUUCUUUAUAUGAAUUGAAACCUUUUAAACUUAUUGUGACUUUAAAAAAUGUUUUGUGUACCCCUGAAAACCGCACAUGCUGCUCAUAUUAGGUGGCAUGUGCUAUACAUAUCAGUCAGGUCAAGUUGGUUGAUAUUUUUGUUCAAAUAUACUGUAUCCUUACCUAUUUUCUGCCUCUUUAUUUUAUAAAUUAUUGAGAGAGGAGGAUUGAAAGUUCCAACUGUAACUGAAUUUGUUUCACUUGGCAGUUGCUUCAGGUUUUGCUUUAUGUUUUUUGAGACUGUGUUAUUAAAUGCAUAAACGUGAGACGAUUAUGUUCCUCUGAUGAAUUGGCCUCUUUUUCUUUAUGAAAUGAUAGUCUUUAUCCCUGAUAGAUUUUUUUGAGGGAGAGGGGGCUCUGAAAUAUUCAUUGUGUGAUAUUGUUAUAGCCCCUCUCGCUUCCUUUAGACCCUAGCUGAUACUGGAUUGUGAGGUUGUACACACUGACUAGUGGGAACUCAGACUUUUCCCAGCCCUCUCUGCGCCCCAGUGAUUGUUCCUUUUAGGUGGCUCUUACUUUUCCUACACAUAUCUGAUGGUGAACACUCUGCUAAAGAUUUGAGAGGGCCUUCUGCAGAGCCCUGGCAGUCUUGGAACUCUCUAAUACUCUGUCCUGUAACUCUAAGCCUCUCUAUCUUCUGGACUCCCUCAGCUCCCUCUGAGUCUCCUCUCCACACUGUGGCCUAAAAAACUCUUCACAUUAAUCUGGGCACUUAAUCCUUCCUAAAAGAUGACUGUUCUGUAGUACCAGUGCCCAGUAUCUGAAAAUACAAAUGUGGCCCCGCUUCUUAGUUGUUUCAGGUCAAAAACUAAACCUGGUCCCUCUUACUCCAUCUUGGCUAUCUUAGUUAUAAGCAGAAGUCCCUUAUUCUCCUUAUAUUUGAAGCUAUAAACUGUAAAUUUGAAGAGGGAGGGAUCGAGGAAGAAACGGAAGGAGAGAGGAAGACUGAGACUUAGAAGUCCAAAAUUCCCUCAGAGAAGACUCUGCAGUGUUUUAAUUAUCUUAAGCCUUUAAUGAACUUCAACUUCUUGAAAUUUUAAAUGGUCUGCCUUGAAUAUACAUGGUAUCACUCAUGUUCUCAUGUUGAAAGCCCUUAUGGCUGCAGUUUGCCCUAAGAGUAACAUAUGUACCUGUCAUAGAUAAGGGUGUCAGGCUUAUAUAUGUUGAGUAUAUACAUACCAAAUACAGUAUAAAAGAAAGGAAUGUAGGUUUUUUUUUUGGUGAAUGUUUGUCCUAGAACUUAAUUAUGUGCAUGUGUACUAAGUCGCUUCAGUUGUGUUGACUCUUUGCAACCCUAUGAACUAUAGCCCGCCAGAUUCCUCUGUCCAAGGGAUUCUCCAGGCAAGAAUACUGGAGUGGGUUGCUGUGCCCUCCUCCAGAGGAUCUUCCCAACUCAGGAAACAGCUGAGAGGAGAUGGUCCCUUUUUGAGGACAACUGUGUUCCUUGACCAGACUGCCUUACCAAGGUGUGUGGACCAGAAGAAAAGGAAGGAGGCAGAGCCAGACAUCUUUUGAGUCAAUUUUUGACAAGAAAGAAUCCCUGAAUUCUCAACAAUACCAAAUCCCAGUGAACUGCAGGGAGUGUUCAAAGCCUGCCGAAUACCUGACUACCAGCCCAUUGUUGAAUUGUUUUGCAACAAAAGGCACCCCAGUUGCCAGACUGAAAGUCGUCCAGAAAUAUAAGCCAAAAUAAAACAGAUUAGUUUCAUGACCCACUGAAACGGUAACACAUAGGCUAAACAAGUAUUAGUAAGCAGUGAGGCACCACAGAUAACCCCAAGAAGAGGUCAAAGGUCAGCUGUAAUGAAUGUGUCAGGACCAAGUUUGGGCGAUGCCCCGGCCAUGUGGUUGCCUCUGCUGUCAGACAACUAGGUCAGCUUUAGUCAGGACUCAGAAGUUUGGCGUGCAAGGGUAGCCUGUGGAUCAAAAACAUAAGUUCUUUUACUUUGUGUCCAACAUAAUGGUUAAUGUGUCACCUGUCUAGUCUAAUGAUGGUUCAAGUAAGCAACGCUGACAGUCUGGCAGUGCAGGCUCAACCAGGAGCUUGAUUCCAGUCAGUUUCAGCAGCAAAUGGGUCCCCCUACAUGCAUGACUCAGACAGUUCAAUCAGCAGGCACUAUUUGUUUCCUAGGUUAGCAGUGCCAAAGGGGUUUGUCUUGAAUCUUCCAGUCUGUGGUUUUUCCAAGUGACAGUCCAAAUAAUCAGGCCAUGGCCACAACCCAAGAAUCAGUAAAAAUAUAAUGAGAUUUAUCAAGUGUCAUAUUUGCCAAAGCUAUAAUAAUGACCUUGAGUUUCUUGAGCAGAAUGACCCUGUCCACUUUGAAUUCUGAAUACGCUGGCCCUGAGCCUGACCGUUUGCAGCUGCCCAGUGGACAUCACCACAUGUCAGCUUAGCCAAACCAUCAGUGAAGCAGGCCCAGACAUUAUGGGGAACCUCUGUGAAUCAAGGGUGCCGUUGAGCCAGCAACAUUGCUACAGGUGGGGAGUGGAAUAGCUGCCAUUUUUUCAUGUAGUGCCAAGAUGCUUCUGGGGCCAGGCUGGCUGCAUGUUCGAAGGUACCAUUUCCAUUACUGGAUCCUUUUCACUUUGUUAGUCACUGAGUCUGUCGAUCUAUCCCAAAAUGGAAAUACCAGGACAGAGAAUCACAGUUCCUCCAGGGGUCAGGCACUCAGUUUCAAUAAGAGCUCAAUAGUAAGCUGACAGUUGCUUUCAGAAGAGAGAAAACUGGUAGUUGUGUCUAGGAGGCAAUGAAUCUCAACCCUAAAGGGCACCUCCAAGUGGAGGCCACCUCCCUUUGCUGGAAGCUCCUGUUAGCAGCAUCAUCAGUCACAGAGACUUGUAGCUCAAAGGGAUCAUUGAAAAUGUAGGGCCCUAGAAGUAUCAGCACCUCUCUACAUGCAGCUCUUCCCAAACAGGAAGAACCCCUUUUGGAUCUUAUUGGCAUUUACAAUAUAAGCAUGUAAAACAUAAUUACCAGUUACACAUUCAGCAGUGGAAGCCAGAUAAUAAUACAUUGAAUACAUUCAAUAAUACAUUGAAUCAACACAGAGGACUCCACUCUGUGGGUCAUAUUAACUUCCCUUUGUUACUGUGAACUCUGUCCAAACCCCAGCAGUUGAAUUUGGCCAUACACUCACUAAUGGGACCCAGUUGGAUGGUAACGUAGUUGCCAGUAUCCACUAGAGCCACAAAAGUUUGAAUUGCUUCUCUUCCAGACAUUCCCUAACCUAUUUGAUAGAUUGUGACUUCUCAUCCCUUUUGGGAACACAGCAAUGUUACCUAGCCCCUAACCGUCUUGCUCCUUAAACCAGCUGAGUGAAAGGAGACAAGAGGGUCACAGGGGUGUGAUGAGGGAGACUGACUCCACGCAGUAGCAGUCAAGAAGUCACGUUUCAGUUUUGGGAGGCGUGCAAUAAUUUAUUUAGAUUGUUGGAGUCUGUUUCUCGGUCUUUAGGGGAUCAACCUCAUCAGCAUUGUCAACCAAGUGUAAGCCAAUAGAAGCCUGAAUAGCAGUCAAUGACCUAUCUGUGGUUUCCAAUGGGAAAUUGUCUCAGAGAAAUUUUCCCAGCGGGCCAAAGCUCCCUGAAAGCAGGCAGGGCCCACUGCAAAAAAGUAAAACAAAGCUCCAAGGCCUUUUACUCCUUUCUUCAAAUAGAUCUAAGUUUGGCAUAAGAGAUUGCAAGAGGGUCUGAGCCAUAAGCCAGCCCAGCUGUCCUCUUCCUCCCUAGGGAGCAUCCGUGCAGGCUCCUCCCCAUCUACCAGAUGAACCAGAGAACAUUCUAAAGACUUGCCUGAAAUCUCCUCAAAGGAACUGUGAAUUUCACUCCAUUUAUAUUCAAGGCAGGUACUUGUCUCUGUAACUGUUAUCUGAAAGAGAAAAGACCCUUCUGCUCGUACAGAAUGAAUGUUAGUAUCAGUUAUUCUAAAGGGGUGGGCCCACGACUGUGAUUGACCAAGGUCCUUCCACUGGAGGAGAAUUAGCUAUGAACAGGGUACCAAUUGGAUAGUUGUCUGGAUCCCAUUCGUUAGCCCACAACGGCCUCCCUGAUUGUAACUGAACACAAGUGUGUAUGCCCGAUGCACAGUGAGGCCAAACUAAAUGAAAACUCAAGAGUCUGGAGCAGAGAAAGGUUUAUUGCAGAGCCAUGCAAGGAGACAGGUGGCUCGUGGCCAAAGAACUCCAAACUCUUUGAAGGGUUUCAGCAAAACACUUUUAAAGGCAAGGUGAGGGAGGGGUGUGGUUAGUUGUGGCAAACUUCUUGGUGUAGGAAUCCUCUGUUCUUGCAGCUGCCCAUGUAUGUCAGGUCAGUAUGUUCCUAUAAAUCUCCAACAAGACAACUGUUACUCUCUGCUCUGCAACUUUUUUAUCUCUGUAAACAGAGGUCAGAGCCCUGAGAAUAGACUAUUCUCUACAGUUCAGGGUAUAGGCAACAGUGGUGCUGAGCCAGCAUGACUCGGCACAGGAAGAGGACUAGAUCCAAUAUGGAGUCAGGUCUGUUCCUCUCUAUUAUAUAAUUUCUCCUUGUUCAGAGCAACUAGAAGACCAUUUGACCAUACAAUUUGUUCAGUGUGUUUGCUGCCAUUUCCCUUGGACUUCCCUCAGAUUCUGCUCACCACCCUGCAAAGCUUCGUUCUUUCCUUUCUAGAAAAUGAGUGACAUUUGAUUUGAAAUAUUGGGUGCAUAUUUUACUAAAAUGUAAAAUAUUUUAAAAUACACUUUCUUUGUGCUUAUAUACAUUACCUUUGUGAUAUGAUUUCGACCUUUUAGUCCUGGAUUGGUUGCAAAAGCCAUAUGUGAUUUUUAUAUUGGGAAUAGAAUUAAUGGGUCUAUGAUGAAUAGUGGACAUCCUGUUUUGAAGAAAUCAUAUUUUGGGCAAAAUGCCCAUAAGAGACAUGUUUUUGCCAAUAGUUUAGUUCAGAGCCUCUGGGAUCUUUCAUUCCUUUUUUUUAAGAAAUGAUGAGAAAGUUUGAUGCUUUUUUAUUCUAUUUUGAAUUCACUUUAGAGCUGAUUUCAAAACAGCUUGUUAUUUCAGUUUUUGUUAUUAUAAAAAAUUCAUACUUA